GUCAAAUUAAAUGCUUCAAUCAUGCAUUUGACUGGACCACACAAGGAAAGCGGUGAUGUGACAGGAGCAUUGAAGCCUCUCAAUUCCAGGUAAGUUAAUGCUCAUUUUAUUUUAAUUGAAAUAACAGAGGGAGACCAGGUCAGUAAUGCCAACAGGAUAUUUAGAAUAAGAAGAUUGUUUUAAUGAAAAGAGGUUGGUGUAACACUUUAAAAUAUGAACUCCAACCUGAUACAAUCAGCAUUCACAGAGAAUAAUUGUAACAAAAGCAGAUAUAAAUGCUACCACAAUGAAAUGUUUGUGUGUGCUCCGACAGUUUGUAACAUUUCGUACACCCUAACUUCCUUAGAUUGAAACCACAAGAUAGCUAAUUUUCAGUAACAUAUUUUACUAGCUCAUCAAGAGCAAAAUUAUUUUCAUUUUGCAGCUUUCACAGAGUAUGUAAAACACAUUUUAUCUUUGCUAAUUUGUGCUGUCUAGUUCCAUUGUUAAAACAAUCUCAGUUGGGCUGCCAGGUACAGUAUAAAGAAAGCAUAAUAAAAAACGAAAUCCAGUAAUGUGCUAAGUACUGAACAGGUCCAGAGGGGUGCGCAUUACAACAUAAAUGACCCUAUAUGUAGACACACUCAUACAAAUGAUAACUAUACUGCAAGUGACAAGAGCUCCUUAGAACAGAGAACAGAGAUGUUAUGAUAUCUGGCAGUGAGGUAUACAAUAAAAGUGCAAAAUUAUCGAGAAUGCCAAUCCCAAGCACCAGUGGAUAUACCCAACGUAAAUAUGCAUGCAUUUAAUUAUGCAUUUUUUUUCUAAAAACAGCUUUCAAAAUCUGCAGAUCUUUUGUCUGAAACUUUUCAAGCCCUCCUUUUCUAACCCCGCCGAGACUAACUGUAGCUGUCCAAUCACAGACUUCCUAUUGCAGCUUAAUAAGAAGUCUCUGCAAAGCAUGUCCUCUAAGUAAUUGCCUGACUGCUGAGUUUAGCUCCACUGAGUUAAACAACCAAACAGUGACAGGUCUGGUUGUCUGAUUGACAUCCAGGGGCUUGUAGCUAGGAUAAUUUAUGAAAGUGCCAAAUAACAUUGAAAUCUGCAGUUAUUGUAAAGUGGAAAAGGUCACAUUCUUCACACAUAAAGUCAUGCCAAACUUACCUUUUCCCAAUCACUUCCUCUUCUUUUCCUCCCAGGCUCUGUUCUUCUUUUCUUCAUAUCUGAUCUAGUUUUCUUUAAAACAUAAGACAAGGUAGGGACUACUUUGUCUUAUGUAUUUGUCCUAUGCUUGACCCGCUUUGACGCAAGAAGGAGUUUAAACUCGCUCCAUUUCCUGUGGUCAAAGAAAGUUUCCCACAAUAAUCACCUCUCCUCCGAACAUCCUGUCAUGUAGACAGGGCACUGGCAAAACUACCUAAUUUCGUCCUAACAGAAUGAGUAUAUGCCAACUAUGCUGCGAGUAGGGGCAUGUCUACUAAACAGUGAGAAGCCUGUGGCACUUAGGGCCUCCUCCUAUUGUUACCUAGGGCGACCUAAGGGAGACAAUUGGUCCUCCCCCCUAAUGUCACUUAGGGCCCCCACCCACCACUUAUGGGUGGCUGUAACUGUGAAUGUCAUAAUACUGUUUGCUUUUACUGCAAUAAAAUGCACAUAUUUGUAUUCAGCGAUGUCUCACAUGGAAAACAGUACCCCAUAUGUACAGGUUUUAUGGUGUUUUGGGAAGUUACAUGGUCAAGUAUAGCAUGUUACAUUUUCCAGUUUUUUCACAUUGAAAUUUGCCAGAUUGGUUACGUUGCCUUUGAGACCGUAUGGUAGCCCAGGUAUGAUGGCAUACCAUUUGCAAAAGUAGACAACCCAAGGUAUUGCAAAUGGGGUAUGUCCAGUCUUUUUUAGUAGCUACUUGGUCACAAACACUGUAAUUCUCAUUCCUGGGCUACCAUACGAUCUCAAAGGCAACGUAACAAAUCUGGCGAAUUUCAAUGUGAAAAAACUGAAACGCAAACCUUAUAUUUUACUCUGUAACUUUUGAAAACAACAUAAAACCUGUAGAUGAGGGGUUCUGUUAUACUCAGGAGUCUUUUUUAGUAGCCACUUGGUCACAAACACUGGCCAAAGUUGAUGUUAAUAUUUGUUUGUGUGAAAAAUGCAAAAAACUAAUUUCAAUGCCAAUUUUGACCAGUGUUUGUGACUAAAUGGCUACUAAAAAAGACUGGACAUACCCCAUCUGCAAAACCUUGGGUUGUAUACUUUUGCAAAUGGUAUGCCAUCAUGGGGGUAAUUCUCAUUCCUGGGCUACAAUACGGUCUCAAAGGCAACGUAACCAAUCUGGCGAAUUUCAAUGUGAAAAAACUGAAACGUAAACCUUAUAGUUGAUUCUGUAACUUUUGAAAACAACAUAAAACCUGUAGAUGAGGGGUACUGUUAUACUCAGGAGACCUCGCUGAACACAUAUAUUAGUAUUUCAAAACAGUAAAAUGUCUGUGUAAGUGCCAUUUGUGUGUGAAAAAUGCAAAAAAAAUUCACUUUCACUGACGAUAUCAUCGUUGUAAUAUAUUUUACUGUUUUGAAACACAAAUAUUUGUGUUCAGCGAAGUCUUCCAAGUAAAUCAGUACCCCCCAUGUACAGGUUUUAUGGUGUCUUGGAAAGUUACAGGGUUAAAUAUAGUGCUAGCAAAUUAAAUUCCCUGGACUUUCGGCCUGGGUUGUCAGGCAGGUCCCGCAAAUUGUAAUUAAUAAAAUUACCUAAUUAUGUAAAUUUAUUACAUAAAUAUAUACGUAGAAUUAUUAUAUAUAUACACAUGUGUAUAUAUAUAUAUACAUAUAUAUAUAUUAUGUAUAAAAAAAAUUUAAUUAUUUUUAUUUAUAUAUAGGUAUAUAUAGUGAUAUAUAUAUAUAUACAUAUAUACUUAUAUAUAGAUAUAUAUUAUUUCGUUCUACGUAUAUUUUGAUAUAUAUAUAUAUAUAUAUAUAUAUAUAUAUAUAUAUAUAUAUAUAAAAUACUGUGUAGGAAAGCACUCACAGGACUUGGUAUGGUUCGAAAAUAGUGCUUCUUUAGUGCAGCAAAAAUUUCAAGUAAAAGUUUUAACGUUUCAGUCCCAUCUGGACUUUUAUCAAGUCCAGAUGGGACUGAAACGUUGACACUUUUACUUGAAAUUUUUGCUGCAAUAAAGAAGCACUAUUUUUGAACCAUACCACGUCCUGUGAGUGCUUUCCUACACUGUAUUUUAUAUUAUGGCCAGGAUUAGCACCAAGGCAUUACAAGACCGGGAGCAGUGAGUGCGGGACACAAGGAGUUUAUAUAUAUAUUAAUUCUAAAAUACAGUUAGAAUGAAAUUACACAUAUAUAUAAAAAUUUAUAUUUUUUGUAAAAACGUAUUUACAUAUUUAUUUAUUUUAUAUUAUAUAUAAAUAUAUAUAUUUAAUCAAUAUCAUUCUAUGUGUAUUAUGAUAUUAUAUAUAUAUAUAUAUAUAUUAAUAUUAAAAUACACUUAGUGUAUGUGUAUUUAUGUGUAUGUACGUAUAUGUGUGUGUGUGUAUAUAUAUAUAUAUAUAUAUAUAUAUAUAUAUAUAUAUAUAUACUUAGAUCAUAUAUAUAACAAAUAUAUAUAUGAUCUAAGUAUAUAUAAUUACAUUUUAAACUGUUUUAAACUGUUUUUUUUUUUUACCGGCAGCAGCUGUAAUGACAGGUACACCCCCUGCUGGCACUGCCUUGGACGGCUCGCGAUCAAUUGGUCCAGGGGGGCCGAAGAGGAAGAAGGGGGACUUCCUGGGCUCCCAGGUGAGUCCCCACAAUGUGAUCGCUGGCGUUUUGAACCAGGUCCCUAUGGACGGCAUAGCACGCCCGCCAUCCUUAAGGGGUUAACUGGGUAUACGCGGGAACUUCAUAGUGCUAUCUAGUGUGGACAGAUGACGUGUACCUUCAUCUACUUCAUAAAGAUGGUGACAUAGUAGACAGAGAUAUAGGGUGUGCCAAAGGAAAAAUAAAAGCAAGUAAGGGAGAAAGAUAAAACAGCUUAGAUAAAACUUUUAAAAUUAUAUAAAAUACAGAUACCUUAAUGCAAUAGCAGCAAACACAAAAUAAAGUUUAACAAUGUAAAUAUGUGAGAGUCUCUAAGUGACCUGAGCAUCCAUGUGAUUAUCAAGCUUGAAGAAGGAGAAAUAUUAAUCCAGUCCCUCAGACACUGUUGGGGGCCGGACAAUAAACAAUAUUAAUGAAUUCCAAUGCACACUGCACACACACGCAUAAGGACAUAAAUACACACACACACAAACAAACAGACAGACACGAACAUAUACAUACAUAUUGAAAUACACACAGACAGACAUGCAUACAUACGCAUACUGACUUACACACACAUACAUACAUACUGACACAUACAUACAAACAUACAUACUGACAUACAUACAUACAUACUGACACACACACACAUACAUAUUAACAUACAUACAUACUGACACACAUACAUACAUACUGAUAGACACACAUACAUACAUACUGACACACAUACAUACAUACAUGCAUACUAAUAGACACACACACAUACAUACUGACAUACAUACAUACUGACACACAUACAUACAUACAUACAUACUGAUAGACACACAUACAUACAUACAUACAUACAUAAUGAUAGACACACACACAUACAUACAUACAUACAUACUGACACACAUACAUACAUACAUACUGACACACAUACAUAUUAACAUACAUACAUACAUACUGACGUACAUACAUACUGACAUACAUAUUAACAUAUAUACAUACAUACAUACAUACAUACUGACAUACAUAUUAACAUACAUACAUACAGACAUUCAUACAUUCAUACAUACUGACAUACAUAUUAACAUACAUACAUAUUAACAUACAUACAUACAUACAGACCUAUAUACAUACAUAUUAACAGACAUACAUACAUACUGACAUACAUAUUAACAUACAUACAUACAUACUGACAUACAUAUUAACAUACAUACAUACUAACAUACAGCUAAUUUUGCUUACCUUUUUUUCAGGUGGAAGGCUGUGGCUGAUGGGAGUCAGCGUGGUUCCCACGGCCUGGCUUUCUUCCAUCCCGUGCGGCACGGAGGGGAGGGGAGCGAGCUGGGAGGAAGUGACGGUCACUUCCUCCCAGCAGUACUUUGCGGCUGAGAUUUUUUUAAAGGGGCCCGGUCGCGCAAUUGCACGGCUGCAGUGCUGACCGGGCCCCUGAAGACACAGGGCCCAUCGGGUGGCCCUAAGUGUGUGGGCCACCCGAUGGGCCCCAACGACGUGCGGGCCCCGGUGCAACUGCACCGGCGGGAGUUUUGCCGCUACACGUGUCACCCCCUGAUGGCGGCCCUGUUUACCCAUAGAGAUGGUGGCGCCCAGGACCAUGGUCCAGGCAUGAAAUAAAGAUUGAAAAAAAGGUUAUAUGGGGGGGCCUAUUGGCAUUUGGGGGUCACUGGGAAGACAAUUAGAUGUAAUGGAGUCUGGAGGGGGGUUUAGAAAAUAACAGAUGCGGCUAUGAGUAAAGUAAUAGGUUGCCAUAAGUCCUGGUUGUUGCAAAUGUUACCUGAACUAGGGUUUUUUUCUGAAUGAAAUUAAAUUUAAGUUUGGUCCUGUCUUUGUUGUUAGCUGGCAUGGUUACAUUCCUUAUAAAUAUACUACUUGAAACGCAUCUGAUCUUUAUCUUCACUGCAAAAAUAAAAUGGGAUGUAAUUGCUUCUUUGCUCUUAACAAGAGUACUGGUAAAGUAAAGCACAGAAUAAUAUAGCCAGAGAUGCAAUAAGCAAGAUAUCUGUUAAUAAAAAUAAGAGAAUGUAGUAUAAAUAAAAGAUUUGAUGGGGAAGGAAAAUAUUAUAUUCCAUGACUCCAUAAUUCACAGACCUCAAUGACAAUUUGAUAAUUUAAUUCUGUAAUCUAAUAAAAUUGUUUUUGAUCACCUUUCACAAUCAAAACUCUCCAUUAUUCACCCAUCCUUUGCUACUGCAUUAAAUGAUAUCCUAAUUUCCAUCUCAUUACAGGCAGUUACUGGUCAUC
Pelobates cultripes (western spadefoot toad) is the source of this 6007-nucleotide non-coding RNA. The record is from the annotation of a GenBank genome assembly. NCBI's taxonomy places the organism in Eukaryota, Metazoa, Chordata, Amphibia, Anura, Pelobatidae.